GACAGAGGGGGCAAGCGUUGCUCGGAAUCACUGGGCGUAAAGGGCUCGUAGGCGGCCAACUAAGUCGGAUGUGAAAUCCCCAGGCUUAACCUGGGAACUGCAUCCGAUACUGGAUGGCUUGAAUCCGGGAGAGGGAUGCGGAAUUCCAGGUGUAGCGGUGAAAUGCGUAGAUAUCUGGAGGAACACCGGUGGCGAAGGCGGCAUCCUGGACCGGCAUUGACGCUGAGGAGCGAAAGCCAGGGGAGCAAACGGG
RNAcentral lists this ribosomal RNA (253 nucleotides) under uncultured bacterium. RNAcentral describes it as "partial 16S ribosomal RNA". It matches the Rfam family "Bacterial small subunit ribosomal RNA", at positions 524 to 776 of the family's 1533-position model. The record is from RNAcentral.